AUUGAACGCUGGCGGCAUGCCUUACACAUGCAAGUCGAACGGCAGCACGGGUGCUUGCACCUGGUGGCGAGUGGCGAACGGGUGAGUAAUACAUCGGAACAUGUCCUGUAGUGGGGGAUAGCCCGGCGAAAGCCGGAUUAAUACCGCAUACGAUCUACGGAUGAAAGCGGGGGACCUUCGGGCCUCGCGCUAUAGGGUUGGCCGAUAGCUGAUUAGCUAGUUGGUGGGGUAAAGGCCUACCAAGGCGACGAUCAGUAGCUGGUCUGAGAGGACGACCAGCCACACUGGGACUGAGACACGGCCCAGACUCCUACGGGAGGCAGCAGUGGGGAAUUUUGGACAAUGGGCGAAAGCCUGAUCCAGCAAUGCCGCGUGUGUGAAGAAGGCCUUCGGGUUGUAAAGCACUUUUGUCCGGAAAGAAAUCCUUGGCCCUAAUACGGUCGGGGGAUGACGGUACCGGAAGAAUAAGCACCGGCUAACUACGUG
RNAcentral lists this ribosomal RNA (486 nucleotides) under uncultured bacterium. RNAcentral's name for it is "partial 16S ribosomal RNA". It matches the Rfam family "Bacterial small subunit ribosomal RNA", at positions 30 to 507 of the family's 1533-position model. The record is from RNAcentral.